UAAAUACUCCCUAGUGACCGAUAGUGAACCAGUACCGUGAGGGAAAGGUGAAAAGCACCCCGGAAGGGGAGUGAAACAGUUCCUGAAACCGUGUGCCUACAAGUAGUUAGAGCCCGUUAAUGGGUGAUAGCGUGCCUUUUGUAGAAUGAACCGGCGAGUUACGAUUUGUUGCAAGGUUAAGCGGAAAAAGCGGAGCCGUAGCGAAAGCGAGUCUGAAUAGGGCGCAUAAGUAACAGGUCGUAGACCCGAAACCAGGUGAUCUACCCAUGUCCAGGAUGAAGGUAAGGUAAUACUUACUGGAGGUCCGAACCCACGCACGUUGAAAAGUGCGGGGAUGAGGUGUGGGUAGCGGAGAAAUUCCAAUCGAACUUGGAGAUAGCUGGUUCUCUCCGAAAUAGCUUUAGGGCUAGCCUCGAGGUAAAGAGUCAUGGAGGUAGAGCACUGUUUGGACUAGGGGCCCUUCUCGGGUUACCGAAUUCAGAUAAACUCCGAAUGCCAUGUACUUAUACUCGGGAGUCAGACUGCGAGUGAUAAGAUCCGUAGUCGAAAGGGAAACAGCCCAGACCACCAGUUAAGGUCCCCAAAUAUAUGUUAAGUGGAAAAGGAUGUGGGGUUGCUUAGACAACCAGGAUGUUGGCUUAGAAGCAGCCACCAUUGAAAGAGUGCGUAAUAGCUCACUGGUCGAGUGACCCCGCGCCGAAAAUGUACCGGGGCUAAACAUAUUACCGAAACUGUGGAUGAACCUCUUUAGAGGUUCGUGGUAGGAGAGCGUUCUAAGGGCGGUGAAGUCAGACCGGAAGGACUGGUGGAGCGCUUAGAAGUGAGAAUGCCGGUAUGAGUAGCGAAAGAAGGGUGAGAAUCCCUUCCACCGAAUAUCUAAGGUUUCCUGAGGAAGGCUCGUCCGCUCAGGGUUAGUCGGGACCUAAGCCGAGGCCGAUAGGCGUAGGCGAUGGACAACAGGUAGAGAUUCCUGUACCAGUGCUAAUUGUUUAACCGAUGGGGUGACACAGAAGGAUAGGGAAUCGCACGAAUGGAAAUGUGCGUCCAAGCAGUGAGUGUGAGAAGUAGGCAAAUCCGCUUCUCGCGAAGCAUGAGCUGUGAUGGGGAAGGAAAUUAAGUACGGAAGUUCCUGAUUUCACGCUGUCAAGAAAAGCCUCUAGGAAGAGUAGUACUGCCCGUACCGCAAACCGACACAGGUAGAUGAGGAGAGAAUCCUAAGGUGAGCGAGAGAACUCUCGUUAAGGAACUCGGCAAAAUGACCCCGUAACUUCGGGAGAAGGGGUGCUCUAUUAGGGUGCAAGCCCGAGAGAGCCGCAGUGAAUAGGCCCAGGCGACUGUUUAGCAAAAACACAGGUCUCUGCAAAACCGUAAGGUGACGUAUAGGGGCUGACGCCUGCCCGGUGCUGGAAGGUUAAGAGGAGUGCUUAGCUUCGGCGAAGGUACGAAUUGAAGCCCCAGUAAACGGCGGCCGUAACUAUAACGGUCCUAAGGUAGCGAAAUUCCUUGUCGGGUAAGUUCCGACCCGCACGAAAGGCGCAACGAUCUGGGCACUGUCUCAACGAGAGACUCGGUGAAAUUAUAGUACCUGUGAAGAUGCAGGUUACCCGCGACAGGACGGAAAGACCCCGUGGAGCUUUACUGCAACCUGAUAUGGAAUGUUUGUACCG
Molecule: ribosomal RNA, 1667 nt
Filed under: Listeria monocytogenes
Lineage: Bacteria; Bacillati; Bacillota; Bacilli; Caryophanales; Listeriaceae
Description: partial 23S ribosomal RNA
Rfam family: Bacterial large subunit ribosomal RNA
Source: RNAcentral